UACGUAGGGGGCUAGCGUUGCUCGGAAUGACUGGGCGUAAAGGGCGCGUAGGCGGUUUGUCCAGUCUGGUGUGAAAUUCCCGGGCUCAACCUGGGGGCGGCACUUGAGACGUAGGAACUGGAGUGAGGAAGAGGGUCGUGGAAUUCCCAGUGUAGAGGUGAAAUGCGCAGAUAUCAGGAGGAACACCAAUGGCGAAGGCAGCUCGCUGGAACGGUACUGACGCUGAGGCACGAAAGCCAGGGGAGCAAACGGG
This 253-nucleotide ribosomal RNA is filed under the name uncultured bacterium. RNAcentral's name for it is "partial 16S ribosomal RNA". It matches the Rfam family "Bacterial small subunit ribosomal RNA", at positions 524 to 776 of the family's 1533-position model. The record is from RNAcentral.